RNAcentral lists this small nuclear RNA (122 nucleotides) under Bombyx mori (domestic silkworm). RNAcentral describes it as "partial U1 snRNA". It matches the Rfam family "U1 spliceosomal RNA", at positions 21 to 143 of the family's 166-position model. From Rfam's summary of the family: U1 is a small nuclear RNA (snRNA) component of the spliceosome (involved in pre-mRNA splicing). Its 5' end forms complementary base pairs with the 5' splice junction, thus defining the 5' donor site of an intron. The record is from RNAcentral. Lineage: Eukaryota; Metazoa; Arthropoda; Insecta; Lepidoptera; Bombycidae.
ACACCGUGAUCAAAUAGGCGGUUCCCCCAGGGCGAGGCUACUCCAUUGCACUGCGGAGUGGUUGACCCUUGCGAUUACCCCUAAUGCGGGUAACUCGGACGCGUAAUUUUUGGUAGUGGGGA